ACCAAAAAGCCAACAGUCGACCAAAAGUCAACAGUUGUAAAAAGGUGUACUUUCUUAUGGACAGUUGAAUAUGUACCACAAUGCCUUUGAAAUAUUCCAUGUUAUGAAUCAAACCAGAUGAAUACCAACCAAGAAACAUAUUAGGACCAUGCAAAGCUUUGUAUGAAUCUCAAUCACCAAAUCAAGACCAUGAAUAAGCCCAUGGACCAUCCAUAAUAGUCCAGAUGAAUCAGAUGAAACCCCAAUCUUUAGUAUAUUCCCCACUAAUGAUGAUGAUGAUAUAGUCAGAAAGUAGGGUUUCCACCCCCUUAAAUAAGCCACAUGAUUCAUGACCUUCCAAGAUCAAUGGCUAAGGAUUUGAUGAAUCCCAAGUCCAAAAGUCAACCAAGCAAGGUUGAACACCAAUUAUCCCUGAUUAGGGUUCUAAACCAAGCACAAAACUCCUCAAAUACAUAUAAAGCUAUGGACCCACAUAUAGGGUUCAGAAGCCAAGUCAAUGCACAAAAGGUUAAGCAACAAGAUCCCAAAGGAGCAUAGCCAAGAAUUGGUGUUAGGAUGCACAGAUGAAUGUCAUGAUAGGUUUCAAGAGUCAAGGUCCCAAAUAAUCAAGCAAUUAGGGUUUCAACUCAUAUUACGAGGAAAACUACAGUCCUUGAAUCUAUGAUACUUGUUAGCAAAUGCUUAAUCAUGAAUGAAUGAUGAAUACGAAUGAGGUACUGAUGAGCAUAGAUGGGUCUUAAGUUAUAGGUUAGAUAAAAAGCAAAAGGGGAGGGCAAAUUUUGGGGUACAACAUCCAUUGGUCAACAUCUUGACCUGGAAAAAAUCUCUCAAUUAUAUCCUUCCAAUAUAUAGAUGAUCCAGAUGUCAUGAUAGAUGUAUUGGUUUAUUGAAUGAGGGGCGGAAUAAGGGUUUGACACACGUACCUCGAAUCAAGUUAUCUGAGGCAAUAGCCUCAGAUCCAGACAACGCAAAAACCUUCCCUCCGGACUGAGCCUUCUUAGGUUUCUCACAUUGGGUACUAAUAUAACCUCGCUCUCCACAGUUAAACCAUGUUAGGUUAUUACUCCUACAAUCCGCAACGCAAUGACAUGGCUUCCCACAUUUGAAGCAGUUCAUAGUUGUGCUCUUACACUCAGGAGCACAAUGUACAUACUCACCAUACAUAAGCAUCUCACAUAAGUAGGAGUCUCUCCCUCACUUAGCUUCUUCUCAUCUAGGACCCGUUGUAUCCCUUUAUCAGCUGGAGUACUAUAUGACUUUCCACAAUUUUGACUCUUCCCUUUCCUCUCACAAAUACUCUUGUAGUACAGAAAAGCAACGAAUCUCAUGAUACCUGAUACAUCGUUUAAUCUCGAGAAACAACCCUCUCUCAAACUUGAUGCACUUCGAACCCUCUGCAGCAACACUAUUAUAAUGCAGACAAAACAUCACUAGCUCCUCAAACUUUGCAGCAUACUCUACCAUCGUCGAAUUUCCUUGCUUCAUCUCAAGGGAAUUCAAUCUCCUUCUUGGUACAUACAUCCUUUAGAAAGUACUUCUCUAGAAACUGCGCUUUGACACAACCCAAGUAGUCUUAGUACCCACCACCUCUAGCCUCUAACGUGCAUUAUCCCACCAAUCUUCAGCUUCCUCAUACACAAUGUGAGUACCAAAUAAUACCUUAUGCUUUUCAGUAUGGGUCAUCACCUAAAAAAUCUUUUCAAUCUCUUUCACCCAUGCACGAGCACCCUCCGUGUCAUACCUACCCUUGAACGUCGGCGGGUUAUUCCUCUAAAAAUUUCCCAAUCCACGAAACCUAUCACCGGUCUGAUUCUGUUGUCCAUGUAGUGCCUGAGCACUGACUCUGAAGCAUAAUCAAUUGCGCAAUCGUUUCUUCUAGCCAUUUUGCACACCAUCAAACAAACAUUAGAAGAAACAAUGCAUCGAAAGUGUACACACAUGUGUCUCACACUAGGGAACAAUUAACAGGUCAAAAACAUGGCUAGAUGGAUCGGCCUGCUCUGAUACCACUGUGUAAUUCCCUACUUCUCGACUCGAAAAUUAAAUAAUAAAGCAUAAAUAAAACAUGAAUAUCCACCAAAUAGGAUGCGACUCAAAACCAUUAAUACAAUUUGAAUCACAUAAUGAAGAAACACAACUCGUUUAAUAAGUAGGGGAAUUACAAGAAAAACAUUUGGCAUAAAACCCUUAGUAGCAUUAUUAGUUUUAAAAAUGAUUCAUCUCAGAAUGAAAUCAGACAGAAAGAUACGCUACAUAAAUAAAUAUCAGACAUCAUGUUCCCCUUGUGUUACGUAUCAGAGCGACUCCCACUAUAGAUUCGAACGAAAGACAACUAAGAUGCACAACACCGUCCUCACCUUCAAGCUCCUACUCAGGUAUCUGAUUAUCUACGCUCCAGAGGAGACUAGACGGAAUAACAUAAAAAAUGGUGAGAAUGCAUUCACAUAAUAAACAGUGCAUAAAUAUUCAUGAUAGAUUCACACAUCUACACAAUCAUCCACAUAAUCAAAAACACACAACCAUCAAGUAUUCACAAUCUGACACACAUCAUAAUCAUACAAUCACAAACAUGCAAAAUAAUGCAAUACUGACUUGACUCAUGCUCGUCAUGUUCCCCACUUUGAACCUGACCCACAACUUAACUCUAUAUACCUGCGGUAUUGACUCAAGGUUUGGUUCUUCAUAUGAACCGGGUCCCAGUCUCUACGAACCUUGAGCCCCCACUCUGAGCUCCAAGCCCCCACUCAAGGCUUGGGACAAGCCAUUAUUCCCCCACUAUAAACUAGCAAACAUGCCUUUUUCACAAUAAUGAUACACAAGAUGAAUGUCAUACAAAGUGCAGUACAGUAUCACUCUGACUAUACAUAAUCGCUUGACAAUAUCAAAUGCAAAACAUCCCCACUCUGACUGUAAUUAAAAAUAUUUUUUCAUUGCAUCGAUAAAAUAGUUCGUAUCUCAUAUCACACGUCUCAUUCAACAAAAUAAGUAUCAUAUCAUGCUUUCACUUUUAUCACACAGUUGCUUAAUUACACAUAAGUCACAUAUAUGCAUAAUAUUACACAAUCAAUCACAUGAGUUUUGUUAAUUAACUCGUACUCAUCACAAAACACCAAACAAUAGCCAAAGCUUAACUUCCCGACAAAACAACCCUCAAAACCAAACUUAGCAGGUCAUAACACGGAUUUUGACUCGAUGAAAGGUAGCCUGUCACCAGGAUGACGCACGUCAUCCUUCAGCAUGUCACGCAUGUGAUAACCUGGCAAGGCAUUUCCACUUGGAGACCAUGACGGUGUCCCCAUCAGAUGUCUGAUGCCCGUUAGCGCUUCACAGGGCAUGAUGCCCAGGGUGUCAUAUGGGUGACGCCCGUCACCUUUCUAUUAGAAGCGGAAUUUCGUUUUACUAUGGUAGAACCUACGAAAUACACUCAAAGUCACUCUAAUUAAUUCCAAACCCCUCCAAACAGUGCAUAAACAUUACUCACAUGAUUCCCACACAAAAGCGUAUUAAUUCCUAUGAAUCUAACAUGUUAUUUCAAUGAUUUAACCACAAAAAUCCAUAAUUUAUUCAAGCUUUAGAAACCCCAAUUUUAUAACAAAACUAAUGUUUAUGAACACAUAGCAUACAACACGAUUACCCAAAUUACAGUACACAAAUUUGCAAGGAAUCACAUCAUAAAAACAGAAUUGAAAUCAUGUUAUUCAUCAAAACACACAAUCAACACAAAGAGAGAAAUUUCUAUUGGAGGUUAAGGGAAACCUCUCUACCCUUUCAUGAAUUAAGCAUCCAUAGAUGAAAAAUCCCUCCUACCUUGUAAGUCCAGAAAAUUCAUCAAUUCCACCUUCAAUUGAUCUCUCCUCUUAUGCCCUAACACUCUCCCUUCCAAGCUUUUCUCUCGUUUUCUCUUAUUUUCACGUACGGGUGAAAAUAGCUCUAAAAACCUAAUUUUGGUCUAACUUUUAAAAUAUAUAUAAUAUUUUAUUUAGUUCUUUAAAUUACACUUUUCGCCCAACUCAAUUUCAAUUUUACUACACUUACCACUAAACUCUUCCAAUUCCCAAAAUUGGCAUAGUUUUACAUAUUCUCUCUAAUUUUUAAUUAAAUAACUUAAUUAAUUCUCACUAACCCAAGUAAUUAACAGAAGACACCACAAAUAACGUCAUCGACCAAACAUAUUAUAUAUUCACAAAAAUAAUCAUUUAAAUCAAAUACUCAAUUAAAUUAAAUAAAUAAUUAAAUAAGUGAAUAAUUAAAUCAGGGUGUUACACUUCUUGAAGGUGGCAAGAAACACAAGAAACUAGGGUUUGAAUUGGAUUUCUAAAAAUGAAAGAUUUUUCAAAACCAAUAUAAUCAAACAAUAACACGAACAAAAAAAAUAACAAGGUUAUUUUUAUACUGGUUCACUAUUAACGAAGCUACUUUCAGUCCACCCUACCAAUGUGAUUUUUCCAUCUCAACAAGGACUCAAUCCACUCUAAUUGAAACAGAUCACAGACACCAUAAAGAUAAACUAUCUUAUUCUUCUUGAGUCUAUAUGACUAAAACCUAGUCACUCAAGGAAACCACUGAAAUAAUUUGAGAUUUACAAGACUGUGUUUACAAUAUUGCUUCUAAGAAAACAGAUUAAUACAAGUUAAAUACAAUGAAUUUCUCACACAAUAACAGGCAAAAACUCUAUGUGUGUUUACAAAAACUAAACACAAAAAAUCUAUACUUCAGCAAAAGCGUGUGUAUGAGAAAUAACGUGAGCGUUAGCAUUAGUAACUUCUUCCAAUUUUCCAAGUUUCCUUUAGAUAGGCAAUUAAAAGAUUCAUUGGAUGGUAGAUUUGGAAUAGCAAAUUACAAUUGUCUCUUUGUAUAACUGUUUGCAUGUAGGAGACAAAAUUGUAUAAUAGUAAUGUCCUUAGCCCACAAAAUCAACAUAGUGGAGGGAAGGGUGAUCUUGUACUGUGUACUAUUUUCUUGACACAAAACAUUUUGUUCUUAUCUUUUAAUAUUCAGAGGCUUCUGAUUAAAUGAUGUUGAAGCAUGCUUAGAAGGAUCAAGAGACUGGUUGAGAGUAUCUUCAGAACCUCGGUCUUCAGAGUCUUUACAUAGUUCCUCAGAACCUGGUCUUCAGAGUCUUCAGAUCUUGCUCUUUAGAAUCUUCUGAACUUGAGCACAUAAUCUUGAAAACAGAAAAUCCUUCAGAGGCUCUUCAAUCAGAGUCAUAGUCAGAAGCUUUAGCAUAAAUAUUCAAAGAAAUAAUGCAUUGUUAUCAUCAAACCUAAAGGCCAGAUGUAGAAACAGAUCUUGUUGUUACAUUUCUCACCAUAACAAACAUGCCUUGACACACAAUAGUAAUUCCUCCUUUUGAACUAUUAUCCAACAGUCAUAAUAAUAAUGCAUACAUGUAUAUAAAUAGUCCCCCUUCUGAACUAUUUACCAUCAUAUUAACAAUAAAUAAUUAAUCGCCAUAUAUUCAUGCAAUUAAUCAUAACACUUCACACAAUUCCAAAUAGUACAUGAUAGCACCAAUUAUCACCAAAACAACAUAAUGUCACAUAAACCAACUCAAAACGACACAACUAUGCGUUGUCACGCUUGUUAAGCGAACAUAGCAACUCACUAAGGGAGCCCUCGUUGAGAGAUGAAUCUCUCGCUAAGCGAGACUCGCAGAAAAAUAGAACACUCACUCUGCCACGCUCGCUAAGUGAACACAAUAGCUCCCUAAAUAAAGUUCUUCCUCACUGAGCGAGAUCUCUCAUACCAGAAACAUCAAAACCACAAUUUUAAUCAUUUGUGCCUCAUCAAAGCUCUAAUUUCGACCCCAAUCGAUCCCAAAUGCACAAAAUUCAAUCAUACAUGUUAAUACAAUACUAAAAUACUCAAUUAGGAACAAAUUAGCAUAUAUUACACCAAUUUGAUUCAAAAUCAUCAUCACCUUCAACAAUUUCAAUCCAACUCAUAAGAACACAAAUUUUCAGAAUUUAAUCAUAUAGUUUCACAUGAAAUUAACAUGAAAUCAAUACACGAAUUUCACACAACAACAUCAAUCAAAACAUAAUUUGCAUGUAUUCAUAAUCAAUAAUUCACAUAUAUAAUCAACAAUGAAUAAAUAGGAGAAAACCUAGAGAGGAUUAAGGAGUCCUCACUACCCUUCAUCAAUUACACCAAUAUUUGAAGCAGUUUCCCCUCUUACAUUGGAUUUUCAGUAGCAACUCUAAACUUUGGCUAUGGUGAUACACUCAAACCCCUGUUCUCGCUUCACUCCCACUUUGCCUCUUUUCUCCAAAUAAUGCGUACUGGCUACUCUUAUGUCUUCUAAUCCCUUUUUAUUAAAAACCUAAUUUAAUCUUUUACUAAUUACACACUGGCCCGACUUAUCUUGUAACUCUCACCACUUCCCUUAUUUCUUUCUAUUUUCUAUUUUCCAUCCGAAACUUCUAUUUCUAUUUAAUUUUAAUUAAUUAAAUACAGCUAUUAAUUCUAAUGAUUUUCUAAUUAUUUUAACCAUUCUAUUAACCCACAAACACCCUCACUCUACCCCACCAUAUAUCACAUACACAUACAACUCAUAAUAUAUUUAAUUAAAACUGCACCACAUACUAAAUAAUUAAAUAAAAACACAAAUGAUUUGAUUAAAUAGAUUAAUCAAAUUUCAGGGUGUUACAACUCUCCCCCACUUAGAGAAUUUUUUCCAUAAAAAAUUACCUGAAAGAAACAGAGUCGGAUACGACUCUCUCAUCAGAAUCUCCAGCUCCCACGUCAUGAUGCCUCUAACAGGUCCUCUUCACACCACCUUUACCAUUGCAAGAUCCUUCCCUCUCAAGUGCUUUACUUUACAAUCCUAUACUCUCAAGGGAGAUGUCUCAAUAGUCAAGUUCUCUCUAACUUACACAUCGUCCACUUGAAUCACAGGAGACGGAUCAUGAAUAUACUUCCUCAACGUGUUCGCAGUUGAUUUUGGCGAACAACCUCUGGUUUUCCAAAAACUCGUCGAAUUGGGUUACUUGCAGGAUCAACCAUACAAAUCCUAGGACAUGUGCAAAUUUAAAUAACUUUGUAAAUCUCUAGAAAGACCUUUGUAUCCUUUAUUUGGUUUACUAAGUCUUUCAUGUCGAAAAAUAUUGACUAGAAGUGCGUAAGUAAAAGCAAAGUUAACAAGACUAAGAUAGAUGGCGAAAAAUAAAUAGCGAAGCAUAAAUUAUCGAAGAGUAAAUGCAAAGGGUAAAUGACUGAUAAAAGUAAAGGAACAUUGGUAAAGAACUUUGAAAUUUGUAAGAUAAAACUUUAAAGAAAUGGUGUUGUUCACACGUACAUGUUCCAGAUAUGACUCUUUUCUCUCACACGGGUACUUUGAGUAUUUUGUAGGAAUUUUGUACAAGUUUUUCACACACACUUUUUCUGAUAACAACUAUCCUAUUUAUAUACAAACAAAAUAACUGUUAUUAACGAAUAAAUCCUAAAACUAUGACAUUUGGCUCUUCUGUAUGACUUCCUUUCGCCAGGUGCUUCCACGCGUCUUCUGCCAAACGUCAUAACUCUUUUGAAUUUGAAUUUAUGCUUUACGUCGAAAUGAUGCGUCUCUUCAGACUUGUCGAAUUUGUGGAAAUACCAUAACAUCAUCUAUACUUGUCAAAGACGUCUUUUCAUUUGCAAACAUCUUCUCUUGUCGAAAUGUCGAACCAUUAAUCUGUCGAAGUGUCAAAAAACACUUAUCAACUAAACUGUUAAUUUCAUGGCAUCAUUUGUCGAAAGAACUAUUUUGCAUACUAAUCUCAUGGCGUCAAAAACGCAUGUAUACAAAUUGCCCCCCAACAAAGAUGUUUCGACUAUUUUGGAGAAACAGUCAUUUGUUGUCAACCAGUGUUUUGAUGCCAUGUCAUUUAAUUUCAUUAUUUCCAAGUUUUUUGUAAUCUCAAGUUCCCAUACGGAUUCAUCAUUACACUUUCUCCAAGAUGUCACGUCUAGCCCACGUUUAGACCUUACCUCCAUCAUUUCCUAACAUCAUGGCCUUUUUCAACUUUUUCUUCGACACUUUGUAUCCAGACGCAAAUUGAGCAAGGUCAUUCGCCUCUUGAUUCUCCACCCUGGGAAUGUGCCUAAAGGCCACAUUGUCGAAUUCCUUGAGAAGUCUAUUGGCUAUUACAAAGUACAUGAUUAAAUUUUCUUUCACGCACUUAUAUUCUUUGGUCAACUGCUUUAUCACCAGUUCAGAGUCACCCAUUAUUUCGACUCUUGUUGCCCCCAAUUUCAACAAUAUUUCAAGUCCAGCAAUCAAAGCUUCAUAUUCUGCUUCAUUAUUUGAACACCAGACUUUCAACUUUGUACUUGAAUUUGUUGGAAUUCUGUCAGGAGAAAUAAUCAACAUCCCAACACCAGUUUCAUUCUUAUGACUGGAACCGUCGAAAUACAAUUUCCAUGGUUCUAAUUCGACAUACUCUACAUUCUCAUCUAUAGAGUGGUCAGCUAUAAAAUCAGCAACCACUUGUCCUUUCACAGCCUUUAAAGGCAAUAUUUCAAGGAAUAUUCUGUUAAAGCUAAAGCCCAUUUUCCAAUUCGACUAUGUAAAUAGAUUUAGAUAACAUAUAUUUUAUUACGUCGAAAUGGGAAGAAAUGUAUACAUCAACAAGCUUUAUAUAAUGCUUUAAUUUCAUACAAGAAAAAUAUACACAUAAACAUAGUUUUUCUAUAAUACUAUAUCUAGUUUCAGCAUUAUUUAGGAUUCUACUGAGAUAAUAGAUGGCUCUUUCGACGCCAUUCUCAUCUUCUUGACACAGCAUACUUCCUAGUGUUUUGUCUGAUGCCGAAAUGUACAAUCUCAUACUUCUUUUUCUACAAGGAGACAUUAGAAUUGGAGGACUAGUCAGGUAUUCCUUGAUUUUGUCAAAAGCAGCUUGUUGUUCUUGCCCUCAUGCAAAGUCUUCCUUCUUUAGUUGAAGUAGAGGAGAGAAAGCUUGCGUUUUUCCACUAAGGUUGGAGAUAAACCUUAUGAGAAAGUUGAUUUUUCCUAGCAGAGACUGCAGCCCCUUUUUCGUUGAUGGCGCUUUCGCCUCCAUUAUGGCUUUGGCUUUGUUUUCGUUUAUUUCGAUCCCCUUCUUGUGGACCACAAAACCUAAGAAAUCACCCGCCUGCACACCAAAAGCACAUUUAAGAGGAUUCAUUUUUAAACCAAACUUCCUCAUCCUUUCAAAGGAUUGUCGAAGAUGGUCUAUAUGACUUUUUCCUGAAACAGACUUGAUCACAAUAUCGUCAAUGUAUACUUGCAUGAAAGUUUCAAUAAAGUCAUGAAAAAUGGAAUUCAUAGCCCGUUAAGUGCCAGCAUUUUUUAACCCAAAGGGCAUUACUACCCAUUCGUACGUUCCUAUUGCUCCAGGACAACGGAAAGCUGUUUUAGGAACAUCUUCUUCAGCAAUAAAAAUUUGAUUAUAGCCAGAGUAUCCAUCUAGCAUACUUAAAUACUCGUGGCCUGCUGCAGAAUCUAUAAGCAUUUCUGCCACUGGCAUAGGAUAUUCAUCAUUUGGGGUAGCUGAAUUUAAGUCUCAGAAAUCAAUGCAUACCCUAAGUUUGCCAUUUUUCUUAAUUACAUGAACUAUAUUUGCAAUCCAUUCGACAUACCUGGUUGUGCGGAUGAACUUGCAUUUCAGAAGUCUUUCGACCUCUUCUUUUAUUUUCGACAGAAUCUCUGGUGCGAAGCGUCUUGGGGUCUGCUUUACUGGCUUCUUUCCUUCCAUUAUUGGCAGCUGCAAUUCGACCAAACUUCUAUCUAAUCCAGGCAUCUCGUCGUAAUCCCAUGCGAAGCAGUCUUUGAACUCUUUCAGCAAUUGGACUAUUUCGACUUUGAACUGGGGGUCCAUAUUUGCGCUUAUGUAGGUUAGUCUGCUUUCUGCCCCUAUUCCUAGAUUUAUUUCUUCUAAUGGAUCCUGCGCCACCAUCUUCACGUUAGCUGACACCAGAUCUUUUUCGAACCCCAGAGGUUCGUCGUCAUAAAUGGCGUCAAGCUUUUGGUGUUGCCAUUCGCCCAUUUGGUUAUUAUCAUAAUCUUCUGCAACGUCUCUUUGGGGACAUUGUUCGUUGGAAUCUUCUUUGUUGGCUUCGACAGCCAUAUAUUUUACUUCAGCCUCAAGGGCCUCUUUGAGUUUGUUUUCGGCUAUAUAAGCCGUAAUUCUUUCGAGCGCUGCUUCUUCACUCGUCAUCGUCAAAUUCGCUUCCCCAUCCUGUUGGCGCUAUAUGAGUAGUUCCCCACAUGUAAGAUUUGCCAAUUACUUCUUUGUCCCACUGAAAACCAUGUGUAGGAUGAAGGUACAUGGAGCAGUAGGCGUUGUUUGUUGCUUUUAGGUCGAAUUCGGUUGGGCUGCACGGAGGUAUGUGAGCCAGGUUCUUGUCGAAACUUUGACUGUUGACAUUGUUUACUUCUGUCAUGAAAUAGCUUUGAUCAGCCUUAAUGUUUUCGACAAUUCUGUCUGGCCUCCAAAUGGCUAUUCGCUGAUGCAUUGAAGAAGGUACGACUCCUACACCAUGAAUCCACUCCCUUCCAAGUAGUAGGUUGUAAUUCGCCCUUGAAGCAAUGACCAUGAACAUUGUUGGCCUUGUUAUGGUUCCAACAGUCAAAUUCACCUGGAUAACGCCCAUAGUGGUUCCUACUUUUCCUUCAUAGUUCGACAGCACCAUGUUGUGAGGUUUUGCGUCUGAAUCAUCCUUCCCAAUCUUCUUUAGCAUGAAAUGAGGCAUCAAAUUUACUGCUGCUCCGCCAUCUACCAGAAUCUUGUUUACACCAACAUUCUCCACCUUUCCUUUUAUGAACAAAGGCUUUAAAUGUGCCUUCAUGGAAUCAUCUGGCCUUUCGAAGAAAGCAUUCUGUUCUUCGACGCACCCAUUGUUCAUGACGUAGUAGCAAACGGGCCUGUGUACCAUUAUUUCCUCUUCCAUCUCAUCUUCCUUGUCUUCGACCUCCAUGAUUCUAUCAUAAUCUCUAGGGAGGACAGAAACCACAUUGCAGAUCACAUUAAAGGACGCUUCUGAGUCAGAUUCGAAGUUGUCAGUUAUUUCGUCGUCUUCUUGCAUCUUCUCUUUCGACACCACUGGUUCGACAAUGCUGUCAGGAUUGAUCUGGUGGGAAGUCUCCUUUCUGCUUACUAUCUGAACAUUGUUACUAGAUUCUGCUUUAUCUUUGCUGUCAGCAUCUUUUCCAUUCACGCUUUUUUCUGCAGCUUCUUUUUCUGCCCUCUUCUGCCUUUGGAAUCUUCUCCAUUGGGAUCUUGACAUAGGGUUUUUUCCUUUGUAGUUUUCUGAAGGAUAUGGUCUUGGCUUGUGCUUUUCCACUUCCUUCUUACCUUCCAUCGAAAUGCCUCUCUGAACUUCAAAAUUUCUCCAUUUUUUCUGUCCUUGAGCGUCUCUGAUGGGUUGAACCCAUUUGUCAUCCAUUGCUUUGUUGGAUGGUUUGUAAGUGCUAUGAUGUCUUUCUCCAUGCCUCCAUUGGUGAUGAUCACUUUUUCUUGGGUCAUAUCCUGUUGUCCCCCAGUUUUCUUUUCUCUUGGCUUUAUCCAACGCUUCCAGAUUUGUUGCUGCCUUGCUGUCGAAGAUUGCACUGCAACGUGGGCAUAACAUCACUUCAGUUCCCAUCUUUUGGCACCUCUUGAUGAAUUCCACUAGAUUUUCCUCUUCUUUAGGAUAUGCCAGCCUUUGGUACUCCUUUCGACGACGAUCCUCAUCCACUUCAACCUGGUUUCUCUGAGAUACUUCCACCAUAUUUACCCCAACAUUUCGUCCGUCAGCAAUGCUUAAUUCGUUCAUUUUUUUAAUGAGUCUUUCUUCUUCGACUUCGACACCUCUUGGUAUCUGGUCAAACUCCUUUUCUGGGCAGUAACACCAAGAUAUGUUCCUGGGACCAUGUUUGCAACAACACUUGUUCCAAUUUCUUUUGGGGUCCUCCAUUACCCUACGCAGGAUUUCACUGAUCACAAGCUUCAUAAGACCAUCCACGACUUCUGGUUUGAUUCUUGUGACUUCUUUACUGAAAGGUCCCAUAGUGUUGACGCAGUCUGCGACAUCACCUAACUUCAUUUGAUCAGGAUCAAGGCCUUCAGUAGCCUUGUUUUUACUAGUGAGGUCUUCAGUGACCUUCUUUUUGAUGAUAGGGAGAUUCUCAGUUGUCUCAAUUGUUUUUUCGUUGUUGCUUAAAGGUAAAUUCCCCCACCCUGUUGGCUGGAUUGCGUUGAUGUCGAUACGAGAACUUGCAGGCGCAGUGUAUUUCGCAAGAUAAUCGUACUUCACACUUGGCUGUCCCAAGCAAUCCCAAUUUGCUCCUUGUCGAACCAAAACACCUUCAGCAAUAUUGUCAUUGUCUUUUUUGUCGAAACCUUCAGUAGCUUCCAUCUUUUUCUGGUCGUCAAAGCCUUCAGUAACUUCAACUUUGUUCUGGUUUGUAAGAUCAUCAGCAAUCUCAACCAUGUUGAUAUUAGUGUCGAAACCUUCAGCAGCUUCCACCAUUUCAAAAUUGUCGUCAGGAGCAACUUCGACCUCUACCACAUUCACAAUGGAUGGUUCAGCAUAAUGGGCUUCGACUGGCUGCAUGGGGUUCGAAUCGAUCCUCAUCUGUUGUUUUGGCUUAUCACCAAACUUCAGCCUUCCAUCACGGAUAGCAUUUUGAACGAGAUCCCUGAAAAGGAAACAACGAGACGUUUUAUGGCCCAUAAAGUUAUGUUAUUUACAAAAACCUCUCUUUUUCUGUUGUUCCACAGACGGUUCUUUAGCGCCUGGCGGUUUUAUUAAUUGACCAUCUUUAACCAAUAAGUCAAAAAUCUCGUCACAUUUGGUGAUGUCGAAGGUAUAAGUUCUUUUAGGAAACUUAUCGUUGGUUUCGACUGGGUUUCCGUUCGACGGAGUUAAUACUUUACACGAAUAUGAUGGGCCUUGCUUUAGUUCUGCUAAGUCAAUCUCUUGUUUGUCGAAGUUACUUGAUUCGUUUUCGUCGUAUUCAUCAUCCUGACGUACCCCCACAUAGGCCACCCUUUCUUUUUUAUUUUUAUUUGCUCUAAAUUUUUCAUCCCUCAACCUUUCGACUUGUCUCACCCUAUCUGCUAAUUGCGCCAUAUCCCUUAAAUACUGAGUGUCUAGUUUCUUUCUUAUAGAAUAAUCUAGGCCCCCCGCGGCCAUUUCGACUAACUCAUGUUCUGGCACCUUAGUGAAACACCUGGCCUUUAGCAACCUGAACCUAUUUAAAUAAUCAUCUAUUGGUUCUGAGUACUUUCUCUUAACACUGGCUAAUUCCUUCAGACUUAUUUUGGUUUGUCCCAUGUAAAAUUGUUCAUGGAAUAACCUCUCUAAUUGGGUCCACGUAUACACUGAGUUUGCAGGCAAGGAUAUAAACCAAGUAAACGCGUUUUUCGUCAAUGAACUAGGAAAGUAUUUUAUUUUCAAAUUUUCAUUACGGGCUAUCUCUCCUGCUUCAAUCAGAUAACAUGCUACAUGUUUUAUGGUGGAUUCACUAGUAUCCCCUGAGAAUUUGGUGAAUUUAGGAACUUUCCAUCUUGGGGGUAAUUCUUCUUGCAGAAUAUAUUCCGACAGUGGGGAAGCGUAACUAGGCCUUUGUAAUCCUACGUUUACCCCGUUUUGUGCCAUUAUCGUCUCGACCAUGGCCGCUAAAUUGUUUUCGACAGGCAAGUUAUUAUACCGAAUUCGCUGUUGCAACACAGUAUCAGCGUCUUGACCUCUCUGGAUUACUAUCCUUCUAGGCUCUUAUGGGGUAGGGAUUUCGACACGAGGUUGUUCGACUACGUCCCCUUGGUUUCUGACGUUUGCGUGGGGAUUAUCUAAAGGAAUUUGAUUUAUUGUUCUUGGACCGCCACUACUGGGUCUUGAACCACUUGCUCUCUGUGUCGAUUUUGAGGGACCCCAAAAAAGUCAACGAUGUGCGUCAUUUGCGCUGCCAAUAAUUGGUUUGUUUGGGUGGUGUUUUGUAUUAGAGGAUUAAACACCGCCCCCAUUUGUUGUGUCAACAUUUGGACCAUAUCAUGAUUACUCUCGUCCAUUUGUUGUCCAAUUACUUGUGCAGAAUUAUUUGUUAUUGUCGGCAUGUAAAGUGGUUGUUGGUUCAGUCUACUCAUGUUCCCCCCAUAUCCUGACCCCUGUACUGGUGAAGACAUAUUGGCCAUAGAAUCAGAAUACAAUACCGGCGAAUUGUGUAAAUUUGUCAUUACCGAAGUUGGCAUUCCAAAUGGUUGCUCCCUACCAGGCAGGGGCAUGGUGAAAUUUGUCACAAAAGGCCUAGAAGUAUUCCCUAUAGGAGGGGGUGUCCCAACAGGCAUUUGUUGCGCCCUAAUGGACGAACUAGGCGCAUUUUGCGAUAUUGAAACCGUUGGUAUUGAUGGUGAAAUUUGUCACAAAAGGCCUAGAAGUAUUCCCUAUAGGAGGGGGUGUCCCAACAGGCAUUUGUUGCGCCCUAAUGGACGAACUAGGCGCAUUUUGCGAUAUUGAAACCGUUGGUAUUGACCCGGUUGACGAAGACACAGCCUUUGACACAGGGACUGAUCCUACAUUGCCUCUUGUCGAAGGGACAGGGUUGGAUACUGGGACGACUUCAUUUGGAUUAGAAUUAUUUGGAUUAUUUGGCUGACUUGCCAUUUUCCUUACUCUCGUUCGUUUAGGUCUUUCUUCGCCAGAUACGGCUAAUUUACCGCUUCUUAGUCACAUACAACGAAGAAGAAACCUUGAGUAGAGAUUAUUUAAGUUUUAGAUUUUUGCACUAGUCCCACUGGGCGUGCCAAUUUGUUCGCGGUUGAUUUUGGCGAACAACCUCUGGUUUUCCAAAAACUCGUCGAAUUGGGUUACUUGCAGGAUCAACCAUACAAAUCCUAGGACAUGUGCAAAUUUAAAUAACUUUGUAAAUCUCUAGAACGACCUUUGUAUCCUUUAUUUGGUUUACUAAGUCUUUCAUGACGAAAAAUAUUGACUAGAAGUGCGUAAGUAAAAGCAAAGUUAACAAGACUAAGAUAGAUGGCGAAAAAUAAAUAGCGAAGCAUAAAUUGUCGAAGAGUAAAUGCAAAGGGUAAAUGACUGAUAAAAGUAAAGGAACAUUGGUAAAGAACUUUGAAAUUUGUAAGAUAAAACUUUAAAGAAAUGGUGUUGUUCACACGUACAUGUUCCAGAUAUGACUCUUUUCUCUCACACAGGUACUUUGAGUAUUUUGCAGGAAUUUUGUACAAGUUUUUCACACACACUUUUUCUGAUAACAACUAUCCUAUUUAUAUACAAACAAAAUAACUGUUAUUAACGAAUAAAUCCUAAAACUAUGACAUUUGGCUCUUCUGCAUGACUUCCUUUCGCCAGGUGCUUCCACGCGUCUUCUGCCAAGCGUCAUAACUCUUUUGAAUUUAAAUUUAUGCUUUACGUCGAAAUGAUGCGUCUCUUCAGACUUGUCGAAUUUGUCGAAAUAUCAUAACAUCAUCUAUACUUGUCAAAGACGUCUUUUCAUCUGCAAACAUCUUCUCUUGUCGAAGUGUCGAACCAUCAAUCUGUCGAAGUGUCGAAAAACACUUAUCAACUAAACUGUUAAUUUCAUGGCAUCAUCUGUCGAAAGAACUAUUCUACAUACUAAUCUCAUGGCGUCAAAAACGCAUGUAUACACAUCGGAGACACGUGAAAGACAUCAUGAAUAUUAAAAAGAAACGAUGGUAACAAAAAUUUGUAGGUCACGUCUCCUACUCGCUUCAUAAUAUGAUAAGGACAAAUGAAAUAUGGUGUGAGCUUUCGAGAUUUCAAAGCUCGACCAACACCAGUUACCCGAGUAACUCGCAAAAAUAUAUGAUCUCCUUCUAGGAACUUAAGUGUUUUACUCCUUUUAUUAUGGUAGCUCUUCUAGAGACUCUGUGAAGCUUUCAUCUUCUAUUGGAUCAUCUUGAUCUUCUCUAAGGUUUAUUGCAUAUUCUUAGAUCCAAGCACAACACUUUCUCCAAAUUCAUACCAACACAAAGGAGUUAUACACCUCAUACCAUACAACCUCACGAACGAUGUCAUUCCACUACUAGAAUGAAAACUGUUGUUGUAGGUGAACUUAAUCAAUAACAAGUAGUUAUCCUUUGUACCUCCUUGAUCUAGCACACAAGCCCUCAACAGAUCUUCUAAGGAUUUGAUAAUCCUCUCUGUCUGACCGUCCGUUUGCGGAUGAUAAGCAAAACUCAACUGCAACUUAGUGGCCAACGCUUCCUGCAAUCUCGAAUCUUUAUCAAAAACAAUACUCGAAGGAAUAAUAUGCAAGCUAACAACCUUCUCAAUAUACAUUUCAACCAACUUCUGCAAUGAAUAGUUUAUCUUAAAAUAAGCCGAUUUAGUCAGUCUAUUAACUAUAACCCAGAUGGAAGCACAUUCUUUCAUUGUCUUUGGCAAGCUCAUCACAAAGUCCAUGGAAAUGUUAUCCCCUUUUCACUCAGCAAUGCUCAAUGUUUUCGUCAUACCCAACGACUUCUGAUGUUCAAUCUCCGACUUAUAACAAGUCAAACAAGCAUAAACAAACUUAACUACUUCCUUCUUCAUUCCUGGUCACCAAAACAUUUUCUUCAAGUCUUGAUACAUCUUAGUGGCACUGGGAUGAAUACUCAUACCACUCUCAAAACCUUCCUCAAGAAUUCUCUUCUUAAGUUCUGGUACAUAUGGUACACAAACCCUGUAUCUGAAUCUCAUCACACCAUUCUCGUUGAUUCUUACCUUGAUUGAUUAACACCAACCAGACGAGCAAUCCCAAGUCGAUUAUGCGACCUUCUCUGAUUUCUUCAAGGAUGCCAUUGGCCAGCUUUAAUGUACCCAACUUUACAUUGUUAGGAGUCUCUUCACACACCAAACUCAUGUCUCUGAAUUGCUUAACCAGUUCUAAUUCCCGAACCAUAAGCAUUGACAUAUGCAACAACUUUCUACUCAAUGCAUCAAUAUAACAUCGACUUUACCCGAAUGGUAACUCAAGCCAAAACCAUAAUCCUUCAAAAAUUCGAGCCACCUCAUUUGCCUCAUAUUUAUAUCUUUCCGAUCGAACAAGUAAUUCAAACUCUUGUGGUCACUGAAUACUUCAAAUCUGAAACCAAAGAGAUAAUGCCUCCAGAACUUAAACACAAAUUCCACGACUUCCAACUCUAGAUUAUGCAUUGAGUAAUUCCUCUCAUGAACUUUCAAUUGUCUAGACACAUAAGCCAUAACCUGACCAUUUGGCAUCAACACACCACUUAGACCCAUCUUCAAAGCAUCACAAUACACAACAAAAGAUUCACUCAGAUUCGGCAAAAUUAAAACUGAAGCAAACAUCAACAUCCUCUUGAGUUCCUGAAAACUCUCUUCACACUAAACAUCCCACACAUAAGCUUGACACUUUCGAGUCAACUGAGUCAAAAACCGUGUCAACUUCAAAAAUCCUUUAAUAAACCUUCUGUAAUAACCAGCCAAACCCAGGAAACUUCUAAUCUUAGUGACAGACUUCUGGGUCUUCCACCGUAACACAACAUCAACCUUCGAUGAUCGACAAUAAUACCACCACUAGAAAUUGCAUGCCCAAGAAAACUCACUUCACUCAACUAGAACUCACACUUGGAUAUCGUUGCAUACAACUUAUUUUCUUUCAAGUCUGUAUCACAACCUUCAGAUGCUCCGCAUGCUCUUCAUCAAAACUUAGAAUAUACAAAAAUAUCAUCGAUGAACACUACCACAAACUGAUCUAGAUAAGGAUGGAAAAUCCUACUCAUAUAUUCCAUAAACACACCAAGCGCAUUAGACACCUUAAACGGCAUCACAGAAUACUCAUGGUAACCAUAUCUCAUUUUGAAUGCAGUAUUUAGAAUGUCUUUGAACUUCACACGAAUCUGAUGAUAACUUAAAUGCAAAUCAGUCUAACUGAACACACUAGCACCAAACUGUCAUACUCCAAAAUUGUCCCUACUUCUUUAACUUUUUAUUUGGCUCAUGGCUCAUUUCAUCUGCAUAUUCAUAUAACAUAAUCAUCCAUCAUAAUACAUUCAUCUAUAGUUGCAUUUUUCAAAUAACCAAUCAUUUGAUUCAAAGGUUUCUUGCUAUUUAGGAUACAAGGCAUUGAGGUAUGAUUUGCAAGUUUAUGGUCAUGAUGCUUCAUCUUGACAUUUUGGACUGUGGAUACAAUAAAUUGGUGAUUGAUCUUGGUUCUUGAGUUAAGUUCUCAUGAGAACCCUAAUCCUUGGUGUUGGAGGUGUGGUCAUAUUAGUUACACCUUGACAUUGAGAUUUGGGUUUAUAAUCUUACUUAGUGAUCACCUUUGAGUGAUGUUUGAUUCAAUACACGGUCAUUUUAUUAAAAUAUUCAAGAUUAAUUCAGAGUCAAGUGCAAGAGUUCAAGAUUCAAAUGUUCAGAUAAAUUCAAUUUUGGAGGGAAACUAUGAAGCGCACACACACAUUUCAUUUCAAAAGAGAAGUCAUUUGUCAUUACAAAAGCAUCCAAAUCAAAUUAUAAGACUAAUUACCUAAUUACAUCAUUUUUUCCGAGUGUUGACUUUUUGGUCAAACAGUUGACCAAAGACAAUAACUACUCCUAAGCACUAGUCCCAUUUAUCACCAUUAUACAUUAACAUUUUAACACUCACUUACUAACUAAUCUUUUACUCCUAGCAAUGCAAAUAGCCACUAACUAAUUUUCAUCACAGUAACUAAAUACUACACUAAUUGCUACAAUAAUUGUUUUUAAAUUCAAAUAAAGUCUAACUAAUCCAUUUCAUAACUAACCUAACUAACUUCUAAAUAAUCUAAAUAACCUGUAAAUCAACUUAUUAACAUAAUUGUUAUCAAUUCAAAUGUCUUUACAAAUUCUAGCAAAUUCCAAUUAACCAACUAUUCCACUUAACUAACCUACUGCAUACACAAUUAAAUCUAUCCAAUUUUUUCACAAGUAACUUCAAUACUAACAACUAACACUUAACUGAAACUAACAGAAUUUUAAAUCUGUUAAAUUCCUAAAAAAAAUCCUCUUCAGUCAUUAACAAUUAACCUUGCCCUAACACAUAACUAUCAAUGCCCGAAUUUCUGCCCAAAAUAAUUGCAAGAUUUCUCUAUAAAUCAGUUCAUCUCUUCAACAAUCAAAAAGGAUGAUUCUAUCUCAAUCACUCUCAAUUCUCUCUGAUUCUCACUCCAUAAGUUUCUUCCACUACUCUCAAUCCAUUCUCUCUGAAGCUCUUUCUCUCUCUCUCUGCAAUAUCACACACAUACAGAGCAAUGACCAUAGCAUAACCUAUAGACUAGGAAAAUUAGAGAAGAAGAAGAAGAGGAUCAUUGCAAUAACUAAGAAGUAGAUAUUCAGAGAAUUACCUGUUGUGUCUAUAGUAUUUUCUUGAUCCAUUUGAAUCGGCCUCAAGAUUGAAUGAACUCUCCAUUUUGUAGGUCCGUUGCUCCCUUGAAAUUCAUCAUCUUCGUUCAUAAUUUGUUUCCACAGUGUAGCCUGAUAGCAAAGAGACCAAACCCCUAAGGUUUGGAUUCCUCUUAGAGUUCCCUUCACAUUUAAUUUCGGAUUUUACUUUUAGGGUUCAUAGAAUUUUAUAUUUGAUUUGGAAUAUGGGCUAGGAAUUAAGGAAAACAGGUUGUAGAUUGUGAGAGAGGGAAUCAAGACGAGCAAAUUGAUGUAUGUUUGGGAGCAUUUGGACCUCCUCCACCACCGGAGGCGAUUUCCGGUGUGGCGAGGUUUUGGUCUCUGAUGACGUGGAUGGAACAAGGUUUAUGGACGUGAAUUGAAUGAGAAAUAUGAAAUGAGCUUUCUGAUCCCUUCACCCUCACUUGGCUUCAUGUUUUGGUCUCAAAUCCCGUAGUCCAUUAUAUCUUCUUGCUACACCCCACGUCAAGCUUCACACCCCCUUCUGGAUAACCUUGCAACAAUUCUUUGGGCUUUCUGUUAAGCCCACGUUGCAUUUUCUAUACAUACACCAUUUACACACUGCACCCACUGCCUCUAGUUUUUCUCUUUUUCAUUUGUUUUGUUUUAUAUUUUUAUGUUGUUUUGUCACUUUUCUGUGCAGAUUUUAGCUCAUUUAAUUCUUUUUGAUAUAUUUCAUUUUAAUAUCAAAAACACUUAUAUAUUUUAAUAAUAGUUCUUAGAGAUUAAUUGAAUUUAAUCCACCUCUUGAAAGAUAAAUAGAUAAUCAUGAUGAUUCACAUUAGAUUCUAAUUAGCAAUAAUCAUUAGUUUUAGAAUUUAUUUUUAAUUUAUAUUUUUAGAAAUUAAUACAUAUGUUAAUAUUAGAUUUAGAUUAGCAUUUAAUUAUCUAGUAUUAAUUUUAGAAAUUAGUAUGCAUGUUAUCUUUUAAUUUCUUUAUGAUUCUAGUCCUUAAUCAUAAAUCCAUGUGCUUGUGAAUCAUAUCUUGAUCAUGUCCCUAGGUGAUUGAUUGAUCAAUGUCAAUUUUGAUUAAUUAAUCACUUCACAUUUACCCACUUCUGUAACACCCCGAUAAAAUAAGGCUAAUUAUUUUAAUUGAAUUAAUAUAAUAUUUAUUAAUUUAAUUAAUUAAUUGGAAAUAUUAUUGGAUUAUUAUUAUUAUUAUUUUGGAAAAUAUAUAAGUGGGNNNNNNNNNNNNNNNNNNNNNNNNNNNNNNNNNNNNNNNNNNNNNNNNNNNNNNNNNNNNNNNNNNNNNNNNNNNNNNNNNNNNNNNNNNNNNNNNNNNNNNNNNNNNNNNNNNNNNNNNNNNNNNNNNNNNNNNNNNNNNNNNNNNNNNNNNNNNNNNNNNNNNNNNNNNNNNNNNNNNNNAGACAUAAGCGGUUUUUCACAUGCAAAUUGAGAAAAUAACCACGAAUCAAUAGUAAUGCAACCUGUUUGCACGAAUUGCAACCUUGAGAUGCGAGCCGGAUUUGAGUGGGGCGGCGUAGCUUCGGGCGGGGAAGCGGCCUUCAGGGUUUCUUCACUCGAACUCUCUAAAGUAGCCUCCAGGGUUUCCGUGCAGGGUUUCGUCCGUCUUCCUCUGAUUUUUUCCUCCUCUUUUCUUAUGAAGUCAGCUUGGUAUGUAUAAUGUCUUUUUCAUGACUAAUGGGGGCUCAGAAUGAAGCCCGCAAAUUUCUGUUGCUCUGUCAAGCUUCCGUAGGCGAGCUAGGUAGCGAACGCGUAGCGAACCGUUCGCUAGCGAGCGUUUUGUAGUUGUAACACCCCAAAUAAAGUAAAAGAAUUAUUUAAUUAAGUUGAUAAUAUUAUUUUAUUAAUUUAAUUAAAUAAAAUGGAAUUAUUGGAUUAUUAUUAUUAUUAUUAUUAUUUUGGAAAAUAUAUAAGUUGGAAGUAAGAGAAAGAGUCUCAUUGUGGGGAACAGAAAAGUGUUACGUGAAAGAGCAGAAGCAUCGUGAAAGUGGAAAAGAGGCAAAAGGGAAGAGCAAGAGCAGAGGUUGAAGAACGGAAAGGAUUGAAGCUCAAAGAUUGCCGGAUUAUCUCAGGUAAGGGGUCUGAAUCUUAUUAAACGAUAAUAUGCGAGCAAUUUCAUGUAUAUGUUGGAUUGUUGAUGGAUUUUGAGGAUGUUAGGGGAAUUGGGAAAGUUGGGAUUUUGAUGGGAAAUCACGUCGGAUGAAACUGUGUUUAGACUGUAAUUGAAUAUAUGUUUAGGUUAGUUAUGAAUUUCCGAACAUAUAGCUUUUUACGGAAGUUGAAUCGGAGGUCCGGAAGUCCUCCAACGGCGGAAAAUGCGGAGCACGCAGAUUCUGCCUUGGUUAGCGGCAGGUACUCUGUUUUGCCUGCGUUAACCGGUUAACCCAGGGCGUUAACCGGUUAACGCUGUUGCGUUUUGCCAGAAGAGGUAUUUUUCCUGCGUUAACCGAUUAACCUAUAGCGUUAACCGGUUAACACUGUUGCAGGGUGUAAAAAUUGUUAGAUUUUACGUUGUGAACCCAAUUGUGAGUGGCCUAUUGUAGUUAAUUAUGAUGAGUAAUUUUGUUGAGUUGUAUGUCGUGCUAUUAAUGAUGAUAAUACCAUGACUAUAUGAUGUUGUUGUUGCUAUGCUGAUUAUGAGGCAUGUUUGGUGUGCAUGCAUUCAUGAAAGGCCGAUGCCUAGUGAUGAACGGACUGAGUUCCAAUGAUGUUGUUGACUCCGGGCUUGUUGAGAGGCUUGGUUCCUUACGGGAACUCGGAUUCUAUGGUGAUGAAUCUGGGAGUGGUGAUCCUGUGGUUGGUCACCAAAUGGGUAUACCGAGUCGUGUUGAGUCAUGCAUGGGUGUGUGCAUUGCAAUGGAUGUGUUGUUUUGUUGAUGUUCAUGAGUUGUUGAUUAUGAUGAUGAUUAUAAGCUGUGUUGGCAUAUGUGAAAUAUAUAAUUAUGUUUAUAUUUCUGUCGUUAUAUUAUUAUUUAAUAAUGUAAUUCUCACCCCUUCUGCAUGUGUUUAUGNUGGUUAUGCAGCAAUGUAUGAAAGGUUUUUCAAGAACUUUUGGAAUUAACUUUACGUAAACAACAAACAAACGGAACAGACAUUUUUUCUGUCUUUUUUUUUUUUUUUUACAAAAGAGCAAACGUAAUAUCCUAACUCCUCGAAAUGUAUUACAAUGCAUGAUGUUAUGAUGAUGAUGAUGUUAGAUGUUAAGCGUAAAUAGACAACCACAGAGCAAGUCACACAACCAUCAUUACUGGAGGUUUAAGGCUUCAUGAUUCAUAGGUAAGGACUCCCCACUGAGGGUUGUUCAACCUGUCCUAGAAUAGUACCGGGUUCUAAAAGACCGCAAUCAUCGACGAUCUUCCUUUAAGCUCACUUCAGUGCAACCACGAAGUGUGAACGCCGAGCUUCACUAAAGUCCAAUCGUCAGGAGGUAAGUAUCCGAAGCGUCAACCAAGCCAUCGUAGUCGAACCGAAGUCAGGAUUAGCUCCUAGCUUCUAAUGCCAGGAUGAGUCAAUUAGGGUUCUAAGGUCUGUCAUGCCUUGAUGACAACACGGAGCCACAUUUCCGUCCAAAUAACAUGAGGACAUUCAGGACACCACAGCAAAGUGUCACUAACCGUGAGCCAUCAUUUUAACCAUUCCGAUACGCCGGAUAGCGCGAGCAAGAUCUAAGCAUUGGCUAGCGUUACCUUAAGGUACACUAGACGGGUGUAGGAUCUUGCAACUGAUUCAAGAUUGAGCUCCCCCAAGCAAUCGCCUUAAAAGUAAAUCAAACAUCAAAAAGUUGAUCUGUUGGUAAGACGCUCUCUUUUGAAGGUCGCCGUGCAGGAAGUACGGGCAGUUCUGCAUGCGUGAACUGACUUCGGGGUUUGCUCUUUAUUGCAUGUCAGCGGAACAAGUAGAGUCGCCACCAGGAAGAAGGACAUUUCUUUCUUAUACCAAUAAGGAAAGGUGGAAGAACGGAAAGCAGUCAUAGACUUUUGGGUUCGAGUAAACAUUCUACAAGGGAAAGGGUGUUAGCACGCUAGUUGUUCCCAGGUUAGCCAGGACUCUUAAUUCAGCUCGGACGAGGAUCAACUAUUAUAUGGUGUUCUCAAAACGGCUGUCGCGGAAUUGCGUAUAAGAAAAAUUUUGACAAGAGAGUUGAACUUUGGAAUGAGUCUCGUCAGAAUUGUACAAAGAUUAUCUCAUUUGAUUUUGAAAAAUGGUUUAGAAAAAUAUAACUCGGUAAUGACUUGCACCAGUGAAUGAAUGUAUAACGAAGUGGUGAUUUUCGUAGAUUUGUAAAGUGUAAAGUGUGAGGGUGAUUUUUAGGUUAUGAUCCGAGUUAAUUGAGAAGUUAUACCUCCUCGAGGUACGUAAGUUGUGGACAAAUUAUGCAAUGAACGGCACAGUACGAGUGCGAGGAUGUAAACAACCUGGCCGUAAGACAUUAUGAGGAGAAUGGAAAGGGAAUCUACCGCUUUGAUGUCUUAAGGGUCACCGUAGAUCAUCCGGAUAGUCAGAUGUGUGCAGGCAACAAGUCACUUAUAACGGAUGGCAGCGUUGAGCAGAUGUCGAAGAGGGAACAGGGAUCAUGGGAGAGAGCACACUAGCAGCUGGCCGAGAAGGUCUCGAGAAGGACAUGAAAAGUCCGAAAAUAUUGAAAGCACAUCCGAGGAGCGGGAAGGCCACUGAUGCUUAGGUAGUUAAGGACUAGAAUUAACGGCGAAGGGCGAGAGGCGGGGGCGAGGUCGCGUGAAGGGUAUCCAACACAUGGUGCAGCGGGCGCGGGAGGAGAGGGACAGACCGUAGGUACAGGCGAGGACAGGAAUAGAGCGAAGGGGCAGGAGCCCGGAGUAGUCAGUGAAGGGCCAGGGCCAAAGGAGAGGGUCGAAGAUCGAAUUAGUUUGAAGGAUCAUAUUUAAGUGCUACAAUUAAUCAUUAAGUCCAUACUGAAAGAGCAAGCUACCAUUAAAAUUAAUAAUUAAAAAGUAGACGACAUAAAAUUAAUUAAGACAAUUUAGGGUGAGUCUCCCCAAGGGUAUCCUACAAAUAAGGGAAGACCUAAAACGUCGAUCUUUUCUGGGCACGUAGAACUUGCAAAUUCAACAAACGGUUAGCAUAUCCGAAAUCCGGCGGUGCAAUAGAGAUGACACCGGAAAAGAAAAACAGCAACAGAGAAAACAAGUGUAUAACCAUAACUGAUAGAACGACAGUAUACGCAAAGAAAUAACAAACAAAACACAAAAGAAAAUAAAAACCAAAAUAUUGGCCGCGCUUUCGCCUCUGACUCUUCGCCUAGCGAAGUCGAGCGCAACGGACAUCGCGGCGUGCGCGCUUAGCGAUGUCGCUGAGGAGCGCCUGCGUUAUUGAAUUCAUGAACAGUAACUCAACCUGCGGCAAUGCUUUAUGCUCCACACAUAUUAUAUAGGUCAGCAUUCAGCAAAUCAGAGCACACUAAAUUCACAUGCAAACCUCAAUAUGUGUUAUGAUUCAUUAUAUUUCCCAUGGCAAGUUAUAGACUUCACAACCCUCUACGCCAACGACAUAUUUAAAUAACUAUCGAGUACCAGUAAAGAGUACACUUGUCUUACAAGCAUACAAGUAACGCAUCAAAACAUCAAAACAUAGAAACAUAUUAUUAAUAUAAUUUAAAACGUUCGCAGCGGACAACAGACAUAUAUUAGUUCGCCAUAUAUAAUUCACAUAGAAAAGUAUCAACUCAUACAUCUCAACAAUAAACAUCGCUCAACAUUAAUCACUCAUAUAACGUAAUAAUAUAUAUCUACGACUCCUAACCCCGUGUCACAUACCGAGAGCAAAAAUAAAAAAAAAACCCCUGGGACCGGCACACACACCACGGGCGGGCCGGACGCCGCGCGGCAGCAUGUUCGCCGCUACACCCCAGGUGUGCAUCGUGUUAGUGUUUCGGGUCGUGGGCGGGGGGGGGGGGGCGGGGGGGGGGGGGCGGGAAAAAACCGACCACCCCAGCCGCCCCCCCCGCCCCUUGGGUUGAGGCGGCCGCCCGCGCCGCGCCGCCCCCGACCGUAGAAUAACUCACGUUAUCUUCAACCCCACAAAGCCUACUCCCGCUUUAUCGCACAUUGGCUCAUGCAAAUGACAGAACACAUCAGAAGGUGAGAAAUUAAUUAAUAAUAUGUUUUCUGUGGUGAUGCGAUAAUUGUUAUGUUGUAAGAAAUGUAAACUCUUCUACAUGUUGUACUCUGAUAAAUUAAUUAAAUAUGUCGUCUGGGUAGAAGGGUGUUACAACUUCCAUAUUCAGUCAAGUGAUCAUAAGUUCUUUUAUCACUUGACUGGAUUAGACAUCUAUACUUACACCAUACUAGAUUCAAGUCUCACUUCAACUCAAGACAUCAUGCAAGACUCUGAAGACUCUAGACAUCAAGCACAACAAAAAUAUUCAUCUUCAACACAUAUCAGUCAUGAUGUGAAUUGUGCACCACAAGCCUUAAGCAAUGGAGAAGAAUGAGAUGGAUUGUUCCUAUCCUCGUUCAGAGUAUCUUUGGGUACAGGGCGUAAGACCUAGUUAUUCAAAGUAUUCACCUCUGUUCAUAGACUUUAGUGCAAUUCAAAUCAAAUUACUUUCAAGUAUUCUUCCUCACAUACCACACAACAACAAUGAACAUCUAUAAUGCUUGACUCUUUGGACAAAACACAACAUUCUUUUUGACAUUCAUGCAUUCUUUAGGUUAAGCACCUUAUGGUCAAACACCCAUCUCUGGACUAAUUCCCUUCUCAUGCAUUGCCCUGUAGAGCUCUGUGCUCUAGAAACCCUCAUGCACUUCCCUGCGAGCUCCGGGUUCGAUCUGUCCCUUUUAUUUUAUUUUGCCCAGUGGAGCUCCAUGCUCCGACAACUCAUGCAUGCCCUGUGAGCUUCGUGCUCAGGCAAAUCAUUCAUGCCAUGUAAGUUAUGCGCUUAGGCCACCUCAUUUCUUCCUUAUGAGUUUCGUGCUCAAGAAAAUCCCCUUUUGUAGGUCUUGAUCUCUGGAUCUAAGCAAAAUCCUACAAUUCUGCAUUGGCCACACCAUUUACUGAUUAGCGCCACAUUCUUUGGUUCAGACACACCUACCUAUGGGUUCAAACAACAUAAUCCUGGUCCAAACAAUACUUUCACCAUAACACUUUCCUCAUUUUCCUACUCUUCUUAUGCACUUCAAACAACAUUUUUUUCAAUUUUAAGCAAUUUAUUUUUUAGUUCAAGUCAAAUAACUCUUUCUUUUUCUUUUAUCAUACAAACCUUUUUCAAAACAAUUUUCUUUCUUUUCAUAAAAGAACUGUUAUAAUUCGUUCCUUAACAGUCAGGCUAAAAGGUUAGAGCAUUCGAACAAGGAUCAGAAUCAACUGACAUCUACACACUUGUAGGAUACAAUUACAAUUGUUCCCUAAAAUCAACCAACACAUUUGUAUUUUCUACCACGAACUGCGGAGCUCUGAUUUUCUCAUUGAACUAUGAGAAUACGUAGGCACAAGGGUUCGAAUCCUUAGCGAGCACACUAAUUAAGAAACUUAUUUUUUUUCCUUUUUAUCAUUUUCAAAUAACCUUUAAAUAGUAACACACAUUCACAUAAAUAACAAUAAAAAUGAUUCCCCCGUUGAGUACAACGGAUGUGAGAGAUGCUAAUACCUUCCCCUUACAUAACCGACUUCCUUACACAUUUCUUUUCCCUUGGGUUUUAUCAAUAUUUUUCCUUUCCUUUGGGAAUAAAUAAAAUUUGGUGGUGACUCUAGUGUAUCUUCGAGUGUGCAAUGCACUCAGGUAUUUUCCACGGCGUGAUAGCUGACGACUAUGUUGGGGAAUCCAUAAGCAUGUUAAGCCUAGUUUUAUUUAUUUCCUCUUUUGUUUUGGUUUUUAUCUUUAUUGUUUUACUUGCUUUAUCAUUAUUUCAAUUAUCGCAUCUUUAUUAAUUUAAAUAUUCAUUAUAUACUGGAUAUCUGUAUAUUCUCUGUUAUAGGUUGGGAUGACGUUACAUGAGAGAAAAGCUUUAUACUCGAGCUUGAGUACACACACAUGAUAGUAUGUGGCAAGAGUCAUGUUGACCUACUUGGUGUUAUGCCUCGAUCAGGGUCAACAUGAGACGCCACACCUAGAGUAGAUCCUUUUGGGAGCACCACUUUCCAAUGAGUCAUUCGUCUGAGGCAGUGGUAUCUCAAAAUAGGCUUAUGACUCUAGGGACCUUUUUUAGGAACCUCUUUCUUUAAACACUAGUACCUACCUGUGAGGGGAUAUUGAGCUUUUGCAGGAAACCAAUACCCUACAUACCUUUAUCAUCAUGUAUUCGCCGAACCUUUCAACCUACAUCGAGAAGUAUAGACAGAUUAUAUAGAAUAUGAUGAACUUGUGAAUCAAUGGAUAUUGUAGUUUACUUCUUUGCAAUGUUUGCUCAUUUAUCUUUAUUGCUUUACUUACCUUUAUUUCAUCUAUUGCAUCUUUAUUGUUUUAUAUUCUGGACCUCUGAUAUAUUUUCUCCAUUACGGGUUAGGCUUUGUGAUUUGAGAGAAGCUCUACACCCGAGCUUGAGUAUUCACACAUGAUAAAAUCAUGGAUAAUCGUGUUGACCUGCAUUUCGCGCGCUGGGUUGGCACGAGACUCACACCCAAACUAGAUUCAUUUGGAAGUACCAUUGUCCGACAAGAAUUUGCUAUGGCAAGGUAUUUUCAUUUGGAUCCAUGACUCUGGGAAACCUUUUAGGGACCACCUUUGAAGAUUAUAACCCACCUGUGAGGGGAUAUGGGAUUUUUUGUAGGAAAACAUAAGCUUUGUAUUCCUCGAGAAUCAUAAAUGCGUCGAACCUUUGAACCUGCAUUAAGAAUUGUAUAAAUAUUAUCUUGGAUGUGUUGAACUGUUAACCUAUAUUAUCAUAUACCAUUGUGGCAUCAUCGUGUAUAUACCGAAAUUUUGAACUUAAAUUAUUGCACCAUCAAACCUUUGAAUCAGUGGAUGCUGCAUAUCUCUUUGCAUUUCAUAAACACCAUAUGCAUACAUUCAUGCAUACAAACCAGAAAAAGCUCACAUUUUUUCUUGCUCAUCCAGAAGAUGAAGAUUCCCGACGUGGAUCGCUAAAGAAUCAUGGAAAGGUGGAGCAUGGGGAUGCAAUAUGCAAGGAGAGCUUGGAUCACACCCAAGGCAAGGUUGAUAUGAUCUUGGAACUAUUCCUGGACAGUAUAACAAUGAACUUCUCAGAUCAAGUUGUGAUUGGUAAACAAACUGAGAAUGGGUUAAAUAUGGAUAAAAUCUAGAAUGUAACUGCAGGAAGUAUUCUGAUUUAUCCCCAUGAGCAGUAUCUCCUACCGAAUCAGAAGCCCAUUCAAGGAAAUAAAAAACAGAAGCAGAAGAAAAAUAACCAAGAAAACAAAUGAUCAAGGGAGGAUACGUCCUCGCUUUGAUUCGAUUCCAAUGCCUUAUACACAUCUACUUCCUAUCCUAAUUCAUGAUGGGGCAAUUGUGUUGGUGUAAGCCCUAGAGGCCAAUACUUUUGGUACUUGUAUCGAAUUAUUUAUUAAUAAUAAAAGGAUUUUUCUUUAUUAUGUUUGUUUAAUAAAGUCCCUAGAAUAGAUAGUCCGUUUAAUGUUAUUAAGUGUGACUCCUAAUCAUGAGAUUUUCACAUUAAUAGCAUAAGGAACACUAUUCUUAAAGGUAUCCAUUAGGUCGAGCUUUAUUGUGAAGUGGAUAACAUUAAAAGUCAUUAAGACUAUUAUGUAUAUAGCAUGAUCACAUCUAAUGGAUAUGGAUAAGAGUUAUCGAGUCUGUAAACAAGGUAUGAAUAUUAAGAGUAAUAUUUAUACUGGAUUGACCCGCUAUGAGAAUACUAUAUAGAAUGUUAUGCAAAGUGUCAUAAGUUAUUCUCAUGGUGGUAAUGGUGUAUACCACCCUUCAACCUGAAACCACUAUGGACCCUAGAUGUAGAGUCGAGUGCCUUAUUGCUGAUCAAACAUUGUCCGUAACUGGAUGACCAUAAAGAUAGUUGAUGGAUACUCCACGAAGCGUGCUAAGGGACAUGAGUGACCUAGAUGGAAUUUGCCCAUCCUGCGUAACAGGAUAAAUGUCUAUGGGCCGAAUAUUGAACUGGACAAGGAUGACACAGUCUAUGCCUUGUGUUCAAUAUAGACAUAAGGGCAAAAGGGUAAUUGUACAUAUAAGUAUUAUCACAAAAGGAUUUGUCAGAUCACAUGACAUUUUCGUGUCUUAGGUAGCAGUAAUGUGUUGCUAGAUACCGCUCACUGUUUAUUAUGUUAAAUACGUGAUUUAAUAUAAUUGUCAAUGCCGCAAAAACCUACAGGGUCACACACAAAAGGACGAAUUGAUGAGAGAUAGAGUAACUAAGGAAUACCGUAAUGUACGGCGCCCUUAAGUGAAUUGUAGAACAUCGUAAGGUACAAUGUACUUAAGUAGAAUACGAAAUAUGGUAAGGUACCACGCGCUUAAGUGAUUUUGGCAUAUUAUAAGAUAUGGGCCACAUACACUUAAGUGGACUUUUUAGCUUGCAGCCCACACAAGUGGGUCUAUAAAUAGAACCCUUAUGUAGAAGCAUUUGUGCAGUUGCAAUUUCGUUUCUCUCUCUCUCUCUCUCUCUUUCUCUCUCUCCCUCUCUCUCUCACUCAAAGCCUUCAUUCGUAGCAGCUAGCACUGAGAUUGAAGGAAUCUGUUCGUGUGGACUGAGUCGAGGCGUUGUCAUCAUUCAACAUUCGUGAUCGCUCUGUAGAUUUGCAUCAAAGGUUACAAUCACCACAAGAGGUAACGAUUCUAUCACUGAUCAUGCCCAUUCGUAAGGAUCACUAAAGGAGAAAUUUUAAAUUCCGUUGCAUUUUGGAUCGCCCUUCUCCUUCAAAUUGUGCCUGAGGAGAUCGAGCCUGCCAGGUUUCCCUAUCAUCCUAAGCAUAAUCAUAAUUCCAUAUGCAAGUACCAUGCUGGAUACAUAAGGAAUUCUACAGAAGCUUGUUCAAGAGCUCCUUGAUAAUAAAUUGAUAUGCUUUAUAGAUAAGCCUUAACAAACCAUCCUCAAGAAUAUUCACCCUCAGUUUCAAGCGCCUAUUGUCGCCGCUUAGUAUCAACAACCUCUUCAGGCUCAGACUGCACAAAGCAAACGAAUUGCACAACAUAAUAGAAAUCAGGGUCAAGGACAACAGAGAUAGAGGAAACCAGAAAGAAGGAUAUAUCUAGUUCAUAUGCCUUACGGUCAGCUACUCCCUCAAUUUCUCAUUGGUUCAAUUAGGGGAACUAGGGCCCCCUCCAACACCUCUCCCUCCAGGUUGUAACAUGAAUGCUAGAUGUGAGUUCUACUCAGGGGUACCCGGGAACACAAUCUAGAAUUGAAUAUCCUUAAAGCACAAAUUAAAAGACCUGAUCAAUUCAAAGGUUAUCAUGUUCACGCUAAAUGGCCCAAACAUACUGAACAAUCACAUGCCUCUACAAGCAGGCACGUAUGCAAUUCCAUAAUCGGUACAACUUGAAUCAAGGAUAGAUCUAAAAAGGUUGCAUCUGUUGGAAGAGUAUGAAGGGGAACCAACUCUUGGACUAUCACGUCAACUUGCAUAAGCAUGAUGACCCCAACCUGUGGGUGGAAUAAGGCUAAUCACACUGAUGGUCAUUAGAUUCUUCAAUCAUUUUCAUUUGUAAUCAUUUUUGUUUGUUAAGUGCUAUUCACUUAUAAAACUUGUUUGUUUUCGAAUGAUAAUAAUAAUGAAAUGAAUAUGCAUAUUUCGAAUUAACCCAUUCGUGUUCGCUCAUAUUUUAUUCAUUAGUAUCAAACUCUUUUUAAAGAAAAAAUCAAAAGGAGAACGAUGAAGUCAAAAUAAACGAAACUACUGGUUGUCUUCUUUUGAAUAAAACCUUGAUGACGAUGUAAGGCUUUAUUUGAAAUCCCUAAACACCGGAGAUAUAAGAAAGAUAAUCCCUAGUCAACCCCUUUGGGGCCUAGUAGUAAGAGUUUCUUUUUUAUAUGCAAAAAUCAUCAAUCUUAAGCAGUGGCAGGGUAAUCUUCAGUUAAUUUGACCAUGUAUUUAAAUUUAUAAAAGAAAAAGGAAGUAUCCCAUCUAAGGAUCAACCACAUCUUAUCCCUAACGAGAGGUCGAAAACCACAAAUCCACAAUGGUUGUUCCUCACCAACAAAAGGAACAAGGCAUUCACAACCCUUUCAAUAAAUCAAACAAACAAAUGCCACACGAUUUGUUCCAGUAAAAUGAGAAAUGCAAAAAAAAAAUGCUAAGUCAAAAACUUGAAAACAAGUGACUCAGGCAAAAAUUAGGGCAUCACAGUGGACUGCAAACUCGAAAAAUUAGUCCAAGCAAAAGUUAGGGAAGGGAAAAACAAAAGUGAAAAAGAAAGGAUCAAACGAAAAUAUCCUCAACAAGUGAAAAUUCGUGUGACUACAAACGAAAAACAAAAGGUGGGUGACUGUCACUCUAAAGAUUUCAUUGGUUCCUUAACCAUCACUUAUACUACUCAAGACCCUUUUGAAAAAAGAACACUUGUGUUGAACUAGCUGAAUGUAGGACUGGAUAACAUCAAGGAGAAUGGGUGGGUUAAAAUAAAAUUUUGAGCCAUAAAUCCUUUUAUUCUAAAACCGUGAACCAGACGAGGUUGCAACCCUUAAAAUACCUAAAUAAAGUCGAGUUUAUUUCGAAAGCAUACUACAGUAAGAUCACAUCUAAACUGACCCCUAAAGUUUUGCUUAUCAUUUGUGUUGGUCUCAAUAUGGAAUUCUAACUAGUGGUUCAUUCACUAUAUGUCAUCAUUUUAGUGAAAAACAUGGAUUUCAAAACUGACAUAAACAUAGCAAUAGAAUUAUCAUUUGCAAAGACAAACACUUUUAUUCAUGAUAAAGCACUUGACAUCAAGAAAGUUCCCAUGAUGGGAAGAAUGUCCACACUAAGGGAAAAACGCCUAAAAACUCUGUUGAGCAAAAGGGAAGGCCACUUCAAGAUUCAGUCGGUUAUCCAGGGGCAUUUCCUUAAAAGAUCAGCCAUCCAGGGGAGAAAUUACUUCAAGACUCAUACUGAGGCAGGCCACCUCAAGAGCACAAGAAGAUAACCACUCCAAGAGAUGUUUAAUUAGGGGCAUACAGUUUCAAAACACUAGGGCAAGUCAGAUCAAGAUCAUUUAUGACAAGACUACUUGUUAACUUGUGACUGGGGUAAUCGAUACAAAUACCCAACACACUAGGGCAAAGAUAGGCUCUGAAGGUACAAGUUUUCUCUAUACUGCAAGUCAAGUGCAAAGGUAUAUCAAUAGUCGUCGAGCCUAAGGUAGGUGUUGGAUUAUCCUAGCCUUAAAUCUUCCAUCUCCCGCCACAUGAGCAUCAAUAAUCGUCGAGCCUAAGGUAGGUGUCAGAUUAUCCUAGCCUUAAAUCUUCCAUCUCCCGCCACAUGAGCAUUUGGUAAACCAUUACACAAAUCAUCACCAUGCAUUAAUCAUGUCACUUCAAUCAUGCAUAUCAUUCAUCGUACGUAUCAUGAAGCCUUAUAAAACAAACAAAAAAAUCCAAAGCCCAAUCUUUAUUGGCACCUCCGAAACCCAAUCAUACUUGGCACCUCCUUAAAAGCCCAACUUUCUUGACAUCUCUCAAAUCCCAACUUGCUUGGCAUCUCUCAAAGCCCAACUUGUUUAGCAUCCCACAAAUCAUGACUAUAAUGGGAUUCUUCAUGUAGUAAUCAUCAUUACAUAGCAUUGCAUCUCUAAAAACGCGUAACAUAUCCAUCAAUAUGGAGCAUUACGCCAUAUAAAUUUAAACAUGCAUACAAAACAUAAGCCAUAUUCGACACCUUGCACGAAGAACCCAACAAUAAUGCAUCUCCGAGAAUAUUAUUCAGACAAAUUCGCAACUAAUAUUCCCAACUAAUUCUUCAAAGUCCAACUUCGGUUGACAACCUUUCAAAGCUCAGUUCCCGUAUGGCCAACAUUUCAAAACCCAGUUGUCAUCUGGCCAACAUUUCAAAAUCUAGUUCUCGUCAGGCCAAUCAUUUCAAAUUCAAGUUCUUGUAUGACCAAUAUUUCAAAAUCCAGUUCCCGUCUGACCAAUCAUUUCAAAAUCCAGUUCCUGUCUGGUAGCAAGUUCUCGUUUAACCAAUCAUUUCAAAAUCCAUUUCCCAUUUGGUAGCCAGUUCCCGUCUGGCAAAUAAUUUCAAAAUCCAUUUCCCAUUUGGUAGCCAGUUCCCGUCUGGCCAAUCAUUUCAAAAUCCAAUUCCCGUCUAUUAGUCAGUUCCCAUCUGGACAAUUAUUUUAAAAUACAAUUCCUAUAUGAUACCCAGUUCCUAUCUAGCCAAUCAUUUCAAAAUCCAUUUCUUAUUUGGCCAAUCAUUUCAAAAUCCAGUUCCCGUCUGGUAAAUCACUUCAAAAUCCAGUUCCUAUUUGUUAGUCAAUUCCCAUAUAGAAAAACAUUUCAAAGCUCAGUUCCCAUAUGGAAAAUCCUGGCAAAUUCUAGUUCUCGUCUGGAAAAUCAUUUCAAAGUCCAGUUCUCGUCUGGAAAAUCAUUUCAAAGCCCAGUUCCUGUCUGGAAAAUCAUUUCAAAACGCAGUUCCCGUCUGGAAAAUCAUUUUCAAGACCUUUUUCAAAUUUUAUCUACAGUCUUUAUGCUUGCCUUUUGCAAGUACACAAUUAAUCCCUUACCUUUGUGGAACCCCACGGGAAUAUCUCAACUGAUAAUACUUUCCAAAGCUCAUUAGUGGAGGAAAUACAGAAAUCAUCAUAAAAACUGAUACCUAUCUUUUCUCUUCGAAGUACAAAUUUUAUGGUUCAAUUAUUAGAAGUCAGAAAAUCGAAGUUUACCUAUCAUUUCUCCCAAAAAAUAAGAAAAACCUGCAUUAUUGCAUAGCAUAUGUAACUUCAUGCGUCAUGAAAAAUCAAUCAUACAUUGCAUAUAUCAUGCAUAUCAUAUCCCUAAUAUUUCCUUCUCUUGCGACUGAUUCAUUUCCCCGACAAAAUAUUUCAGUAAAUCCCCAGCAGAUGAACCUAUAAAAGUCAAUUGCCAAUCCAUAUCCCUAAUACAGUUAUCUUCCUUACAUUACAUCCACCUCAUUCUCAACGAACAAAUUUUUGGAUAUUCUUAUAUUUAAUCCACUUCUACCUUGGAUGCCCGAAAAGUUGUCGCCAUUCGUACAGUUAGGUCAAAGAUGAUUAAAUAAGGAUAUAUGUACCCAAAAAAUUUCCCUACUUUUUUCACUUUUCAUCUAGCCCAUGGCUCAUGUCAUCUACAUAUUCACAUUACCUAAUCAUCCAUCAUAAUAUAUUUAUUUAUAGUUGCAUUUUUCAAAUAACAUCAUUUGAUUCAAAGGUUUCUUGCUAUUUAAUAUACAAGGCAAUGAGGUAUGAUUUGCAAGCUUAUGGUCAUGAUGCUUCAUCUUGACAUUUUGGAUUGUGGAUACAACAAAUUGGUGAUUGAUCUUGAUUAUUGAGUUAAGUUCUCAUGAGAACCUAAUCUUUGGUGUUUGAGGCCUGAUCAUAUUGGUUACUGCUUGGCAUUGAGAUUUUGGUUUAAAAUCUUACUUAGUGAUCACCUUUGAGUGAUUUUUGAUUCAAGACAUGGUCAUUUUAUUCAAAUAGUCAAGAGUAAUUCAAAGUCAAGUGCAAGAGUUCAAGAUUCAAAUGUUCAGAUAAAUUCAAUUUUUAGAGGGAAACUAUGAAGCACACACAUAUUUCAUUUCAAAAGAGAAGCCAUUUGUCAUUACAAAAUCAUCCAAAUCAUAUUAUAAUACCAAUUACCAAAUUACAUCAUUUUUGCCGAGAGUUGACUUUUGGCUAACUGUUGGCUUUUUGGUCCAAAUAGUUGACCAAAGUCAACCACUACUCCUAAACACUAGUCCCAUUUUUCUUCAGUUACAAGUCUUCCUAUAUGUUUUUGUUGCCCCAAAGCAUCCAAGUUGCUCCAUGAAGGAACCUUGAGUCAUGAACAUUGUCAUGACCAUACUAGCCCCUUGACCAAUGCCAAGUCAUGACCAUACUAGCCCUG
Molecule: long non-coding RNA, 35251 nt
Filed under: Lathyrus oleraceus (garden pea)
Lineage: Eukaryota; Viridiplantae; Streptophyta; Magnoliopsida; Fabales; Fabaceae
Description: Pisum sativum (pea) long non-coding RNA (PSAT_LNC034510)
Source: RNAcentral